This 639-nucleotide long non-coding RNA is filed under the name Olea europaea (common olive). RNAcentral's name for it is "long non-coding RNA (OEUR_LNC012209)". Lineage: Eukaryota; Viridiplantae; Streptophyta; Magnoliopsida; Lamiales; Oleaceae. The record is from RNAcentral.
UUUUUUUUUUUUUUUUCCCUCAAUUCUAUCAAAUCUAGUUGAUAAUAAAGUGAAUGGAACUCACUAAUUAUAGGGCCAAUAUCCGAUUUUCUUAGCAUCCUCUGCAGCAAAGCAGCAACAAGAGACAUCUUCUCCAACAGCAAGGACGACGAUUUUCAGGUGUUUCGGAACUGGAGUGCCUGGAAUUGGACGAUGGCGAACAGGCUGCGCAACAUCGGAAAUCAUAUGCACUUUAUUUUUCUCUACUGUUGCUUGAGCUGCAUGAACCACAUGCACUACCGAAUUAGUUUCCAUUAAUGUAAAAAUUUUGAGAUGCUAGAAAGGAUAACUUACUGAUGUCAUUGGAGACGGUAGCAGUCACCAUCACCAUGGAAGCAGCGUCGUAUAUUAUGAACAAAGAUAGAGAAGGUAGAGAAUUGCCUUCUUGGGAACCAUUAUGAUGUCGGAAAGAAAUAUUUUACGUUGUUUUGCUGUAUUGUAGACACUGAUUUAAGUAUAAACGAGUCGAAGAUUAGGUCUCAUUUUAUAGGAGAGGAUGAAGGAAAAGAAAUGGAAGUUUCCCUGUUUGAUCCAUCCCACCGUAGAAAAGAAACCAAUCAAAUAGAAGGUAGUUUCCUAGUAACCUCGUGGAAUUAAAAU